This 269-nucleotide ribosomal RNA is filed under the name uncultured prokaryote. Its description in RNAcentral is "partial 16S ribosomal RNA". It matches the Rfam family "Bacterial small subunit ribosomal RNA", at positions 524 to 792 of the family's 1533-position model. The record is from RNAcentral.
UACGAAGGUGGCGAGCGUUGUUCGGAAUCACUGGGCUUAAAGCGCGCGUAGGCGGAAUGGACAGUGUCCUGUGAAAUCCCCCGGCUUAACCGAGGAAUUGCGGGGCAUACUGCCAUUCUUGAGGCAAGCAGGGGUGCAUGGAACUCUUGGUGGAGCGGUGGAAUGCGUAGAUAUCAAGAGGAACGCCGAAGGAGAAAUCAGUGCACUGGGCUUGUUCUGACGCUGAGGCGCGAAAGCGUGGGGAGCGAACGGGAUUAGAUACCCUCGUA